RNAcentral lists this ribosomal RNA (206 nucleotides) under uncultured Candidatus Accumulibacter sp. RNAcentral describes it as "partial 16S ribosomal RNA". It matches the Rfam family "Bacterial small subunit ribosomal RNA", at positions 653 to 857 of the family's 1533-position model. The record is from RNAcentral. Lineage: Bacteria; Pseudomonadati; Pseudomonadota; Betaproteobacteria.
AGAGGGGGGUGGAAUUCCACGUGUAGCAGUGAAAUGCCUAGAGAUGUGGAGGAACACCAAUGGCGAAGGCAGCCCCCUGGGUCGAUACUGACGCUCAUGCACGAAAGCGUGGGUAGCAAACAGGAUUAGAUACCCUGGUAGUCCACGCCCUAAACGAUGUCAACUAGGUGUUGGGAGGGUAAAACCUUUUAGUGCCGUAGCUAACG